GACGAACGCUGGCGGCGUGCCUAAUACAUGCAAGUAGAACGCUGAAGAGAGGAGCUUGCUCUUCUUGGAUGAGUUGCGAACGGGUGAGUAACGCGUAGGUAACCUGCCUUGUAGCGGGGGAUAACUAUUGGAAACGAUAGCUAAUACCGCAUAACAAUAGGUGACACAUGUCAUUUAUUUGAAAGGGGCAAUUGCUCCACUACAAGAUGGACCUGCGUUGUAUUAGCUAGUAGGUGAGGUAACGGCUCACCUAGGCGACGAUACAUAGCCGACCUGAGAGGGUGAUCGGCCCCACUGGGACUGAGACACGGCCCAGACUCCUACGGGAGGCAGCAGUAGGGAAUCUUCGGCAAUGGGGGCAACCCUGACCGAGCAACGCCGCGUGAGUGAAGAAGGUUUUCGGAUCGUAAAGCUCUGUUGUAAGUCAAGAACGAGUGUGAGAGUGGAAAGUUCACACUGUGACGGUAGCUUACCAGAAAGGGACGGCUAACUACGUG
Molecule: ribosomal RNA, 497 nt
Filed under: uncultured bacterium
Lineage: Bacteria
Description: partial 16S ribosomal RNA
Rfam family: Bacterial small subunit ribosomal RNA
Source: RNAcentral